UACGUAGGGGGCAAGCGUUAUCCGGAUUUACUGGGUGUAAAGGGAGCGUAGACGGCGAUGCAAGUCUGAAGUGAAAGCCCGCGGCUCAACUGCGGAACGGCUUUGGAAACUGAGUAACUGGAGUGCUGGAGGGGCAGGCGGAAUUCCUGGUGUAGCGGUGAAAUGCGUAGAUAUCAGGAGGAACACCGGUGGCGAAGGCAGCCUGCUGGACUGUAACUGACGCUGAUGCUCGAAAGUGUGGGUAUCAAACAGG
RNAcentral lists this ribosomal RNA (253 nucleotides) under uncultured Lachnospiraceae bacterium. RNAcentral's name for it is "partial 16S ribosomal RNA". It matches the Rfam family "Bacterial small subunit ribosomal RNA", at positions 524 to 776 of the family's 1533-position model. The record is from RNAcentral. Lineage: Bacteria; Bacillati; Bacillota; Clostridia; Lachnospirales; Lachnospiraceae.